GGGUCGUUAGCUCAGUAGGAAGAGCACCGGAUUUUUAAUCCGGGAGCCGUGGGUUCGACUCCCGCACGACCCACUA
This 76-nucleotide transfer RNA is filed under the name Deltaproteobacteria bacterium. RNAcentral's name for it is "tRNA-Lys". It matches the Rfam family "tRNA". From Rfam's summary of the family: Transfer RNA (tRNA) molecules are approximately 80 nucleotides in length. Their secondary structure includes four short double-helical elements and three loops (D, anti-codon, and T loops). The record is from RNAcentral. Lineage: Bacteria; Pseudomonadati; Myxococcota; Myxococcia.